Molecule: long non-coding RNA, 339 nt
Filed under: Zostera marina
Lineage: Eukaryota; Viridiplantae; Streptophyta; Magnoliopsida; Alismatales; Zosteraceae
Description: long non-coding RNA (ZMAR_LNC002566)
Source: RNAcentral
GUUUUUCUUGUUUUUUUCCGUAAAGCCAUUUAACUUUUAGUCAUCAAGAUACAAUUCUACAAUAUAAUAAUAAUAUUUGAUAUUCAUGGAUCGAAUAUAAAUAACCACACACUUACCUAUUUCUUAUUUCCUUCAUCAAACAGACGGGCGACGGGCCGACGGCUAAGCAAUACUACAAGAUUUACGAUAUAGAUAAGAUUUAAAGCAGCAGUCAAGGACUAGGAAAUCCAGUUUUUUUUUUUUUUUUACCACUAUGGGAUUGGAAGGCAGGAGCGAAGAUCUGAAGCAGAGGCUGGUGGUUCCACACACGUACCCCGCUCCUGGCGUGAGAGAGGAAGA